Molecule: ribosomal RNA, 368 nt
Filed under: uncultured organism
Description: bacterial SSU rRNA
Rfam family: Bacterial small subunit ribosomal RNA
Source: RNAcentral
CGGAGGAUCCAAGCGUUAUCCGGAUUCAUUGGGUUUAAAGGGUGCGUAGGCGGAAUGAUAAGUCAGUGGUGAAAUCCUUCAGCUUAACUGAAGAACUGCCAUUGAUACUGUCAAUCUUGAGUACAUUUGAUGUGGGCGGAAUGUGUCAUGUAGCGGUGAAAUGCUUAGAUAUGACACAGAACACCGAUUGCGAAGGCAGCUCACAAAACUGUAACUGACGCUGAGGCACGAAAGCGUGGGUAUCAAACAGGAUUAGAUACCCUGGUAGUCCACGCUGUAAACUAUGAUUACUCGAUGUUUGCGAUACACUGUAAGCGUCUAAGCGAAAGCGAUAAGUAAUCCACCUGGGGAGUACGCUCGCAAGAGUG